RNAcentral lists this ribosomal RNA (857 nucleotides) under uncultured marine dinoflagellate. RNAcentral describes it as "eukaryotic LSU rRNA". It matches the Rfam family "Eukaryotic large subunit ribosomal RNA", at positions 1 to 678 of the family's 3401-position model. The record is from RNAcentral. Lineage: Eukaryota; Dinophyceae.
AGCGAGUUUGGAAGCGACGUCAAAGCAUUUAGAGAUUAAUUUCUCGACUUGUUGCAUUUCGCAUGAAGUUAGACCAGGCUACCCACUGAAUUUAAGCAUAUAAGUAAGUGGAGGAAAAGAAAAUGAAUAUGAUUCCCUAAGUAAGGGCGACUGAACCGGGAAAAGCUCAGCUUGUAAAUCUGUGGGUUUCCCACUGAAUUGUAGUCUUGAUAAGUGUUGCCAGUGGCGGACCGGGCGUAAGUCUUUUUGGAAGAAAGCAUCAUAGAGGGUGAGAAUCCCGUAUUUUCUUCGUCCGGAUUCCGUCGCGUUCGGCGCGCUGUUUAGAGUCGCGUACUUUGGAAGUGGUGCGCUAAAUGGGUGGUAAUUUUCAUCUAAAGCUAAAUAUCGACUCGAGACCGAUAGCAAACAAGUACCGUGAGGGAAAGGUGAAAAGGACUUUGGAAAGAGAGUUAAAAGUGCGUGAAAUCGCUAAGAGGGAAGCGAAUGAAACCAGUUCAUUGCGGUAAGAUUGCUGUUGCUUAACUGGAAGGCGCGUGUUGGCACCGCAAGGGUCAGCUAGUGUUGGAAGGGGAAGGUAGCGGUGUUUCUUGCUGUUAAGGUCAACUUGAGUUGGGAGUUCGACGAAAUCCGCGUCUGUCUCCGGAUACUGUUGCGGCGGUAUGCGAGACUGGUGUUGGUAGUCUUACCUCGACUGAGGACUGCGGGCGGUGCGCCACCUGGGCAUAUUCUCUGUGAAACCUUGCUCUACUCCUAGAGUGCAGUGAGGCUAGCGGUGAUGAGUCUAGAUCGUGUUGCUCUGUGAAGUUGACAAAAUGUUUUUAUUCGACCCGUCUUGAAACACGGACCAAGGAGUCUAA